This 460-nucleotide ribosomal RNA is filed under the name uncultured bacterium. RNAcentral describes it as "partial 16S ribosomal RNA". It matches the Rfam family "Bacterial small subunit ribosomal RNA", at positions 338 to 795 of the family's 1533-position model. The record is from RNAcentral.
CCUACGGGGUGCAGCAGUGAGGAAUAUUGGUCAAUGGACGCAAGUCUGAACCAGCCAUGCCGCGUGCAGGAAGACGGCUCUAUGAGUUGUAAACUGCUUUUGUACGAGGGUAAACGCAUAUACGCGUAUCUGUCUGAAAGUAUCGUACGAAUAAGGAUUGGCUAACUCCGUUCCAGCCGCCGCGGUAAUACGGAGGAUUCAAGCGUUAUCCGGAUUUAUUGGGUUUAAAGGAUGCGUAGGCGGUCGGAUAAGUUAGAGGUGAAAUCUCGAGGCUCAACUUCGGAAUUGCCUCUGAUACUGUUCGGCUAGAGAGUAGUUGCGGUAGGCGGAAUGUAUGGUGUAGCGGUGAAAUGCUUAGAGAUCAUACAGAACACCGAUUGCGAAGGCAGCUUACCAAGCUACUUCUGACGUUGAGGCACGAAAGCGUGGGGAGCAAACAGGAUUAGAUACCCUGGUAGUC